This 440-nucleotide ribosomal RNA is filed under the name uncultured Rhodospirillaceae bacterium. RNAcentral's name for it is "bacterial SSU rRNA". It matches the Rfam family "Bacterial small subunit ribosomal RNA", at positions 338 to 795 of the family's 1533-position model. The record is from RNAcentral. Lineage: Bacteria; Pseudomonadati; Pseudomonadota; Alphaproteobacteria; Rhodospirillales; Rhodospirillaceae.
CCUACGGGUGGCAGCAGUGGGGAAUAUUGGACAAUGGGGGCAACCCUGAUCCAGCAAUGCCGCGUGAGUGAUGAAGGCCUUAGGGUUGUAAAGCUCUUUUGGCGGGGACGAUGAUGACGGUACCCGCAGAAUAAGCCCCGGCUAACUUCGUGCCAGCAGCCGCGGUAAUACGAAGGGGGCGAGCGUUGUUCGGAAUUACUGGGCGUAAAGGGCGCGUAGGCGGCCUGCCAAGUCAGAUGUGAAAGUCCUGGGCUUAACCUGGGGACUGCAUUUGAUACUGGCGGGCUUGAAUGCAGGAGAGGAUAGCGGAAUUCCCAGUGUAGAGGUGAAAUUCGUAGAUAUUGGGAAGAACACCGGUGGCGAAGGCGGCUAUCUGGACUGUGAUUGACGCUGAGGCGCGAAAGCGUGGGGAGCAAACAGGAUUAGAUACCCCUGUAGUC